GCCCUCGUAGCUCAAUGGAUAGAGCAACCGCCUCCUAAGCGGUAGAUUCGGAUUCGAGUUCCGGCGAGGGUA
Molecule: transfer RNA, 72 nt
Filed under: Chloroflexota bacterium
Lineage: Bacteria; Bacillati; Chloroflexota
Also listed under: 2 other names
Description: tRNA-Arg
Rfam family: tRNA
About the family: Transfer RNA (tRNA) molecules are approximately 80 nucleotides in length. Their secondary structure includes four short double-helical elements and three loops (D, anti-codon, and T loops).
Source: RNAcentral